Non-coding RNA from Streptococcus agalactiae 2603V/R, 177 nucleotides. The record is from Rfam. NCBI's taxonomy places the organism in Bacteria, Bacillati, Bacillota, Bacilli, Lactobacillales, Streptococcaceae.
UAACAGGUGAAAGUCCUGUCCUAACAAUUAACCAGUUCGGUUAGGUAGCUAUGGCAUACGUAUGCGGAGUAAUCCAAAUGCGGAAGCAAUGCCGACUAACGUUAUCCCCAGUAGGCUGAUAUUCAUUGGUCUUAUCUCAGUCCGUGGGAGCGAGCAAACCUACAGUCCGUAACGAAA